Molecule: ribosomal RNA, 239 nt
Filed under: uncultured bacterium
Lineage: Bacteria
Description: partial 16S ribosomal RNA
Rfam family: Bacterial small subunit ribosomal RNA
Source: RNAcentral
CCGACGGGUGAGUAACACGUAUGCAAUCCACCUGUAACGAGGGGGAGUAACCCGGAGAAAUCCGACUAAUACCCAUAAUAUGGGCGCUCCGCAUGGAGAGUCCAUUAAAGAGAGCAAUCUUGGUUACAGACGAGCAUGCGCUCCAUUAGCCAGUUGGCGGGGUAACGGCCCACCAAGGCGACGAUGGAUAGGGGUUCUGAGAGGAAGGUCCCCCACAUUGGAACUGAGACACGGUCCAA